AAGAGGCCUGAAGCAAUAAGGACUGCUAAUCCUUUACCCCCGCAGUUAAACUCCG
RNAcentral lists this transfer RNA (55 nucleotides) under Pseudexostoma brachysoma. RNAcentral describes it as "tRNA-Ser". The record is from RNAcentral. Lineage: Eukaryota; Metazoa; Chordata; Actinopteri; Siluriformes; Sisoridae.